RNA transcript from Lolium rigidum, 1422 nucleotides. It is a transcript of the gene named serine/arginine-rich-splicing factor SR34-like, with no coding region annotated. NCBI's taxonomy places the organism in Eukaryota, Viridiplantae, Streptophyta, Magnoliopsida, Poales, Poaceae. The transcript is spliced from 14 exons. The record is from RefSeq and is a predicted model, not a curated record.
GAAAGCCGUAAACCCUAUCUUCUUCUUCCGCUCCCUCCGUCGCCGGCGACGACGGCGUUCUUGCAAACCCAGCCCUCCGCCGCCCCCUGCUCCUCCGGUUGCCAAAAGAAGGAUGAGUAGGCGCUGGAGCCGGACGAUUUACGUUGGGAACCUCCCCGGGGAUAUCCGGGAGAGGGAGGUGGAAGAUCUAUUCUACAAGUAUGGAAAGAUAGUUGAAAUUGACUUGAAGGUCCCCCCAAGGCCACCUGGCUUUGCUUUCGUGGAGUUUGAAGAUCCCCGUGAUGCUGAAGAUGCGAUUCAUGGUCGAGAUGGCUAUAACUUUGACGGGAACCGGCUGAGGGUUGAACUCGCACAUGGCGGGAGGGCUAACUCUUCAUCCAUCCCAAACAGCUUUGGUGGUGGUGCUGGUGGAGGACGCCGUGGUGGUGUCUCUAGGCACACAGAAUAUCGUGUUUUGGUUACUGGACUACCUUCUUCUGCAUCAUGGCAGGAUCUGAAGGACCAUAUGAGAAAGGCUGGUGAUGUUUGUUUCUCUGAGGUGUAUCGUGAGGGUGGUGGUACAAUAGGAAUUGUUGAUUAUACAAACUAUGAUGAUAUGAAGUACGCUAUAAGGAAGCUUGAUGAUACUGAGUUUAAAAACGCCUUCUCUCGGGCGCCUAUAAGGGUGAAGGAGUAUGCUGGCAAAAACAGCCGCUCCUAUUCACGAAGCCGCAGCAGAAGCCGAAGUCGCAGCUACAGCAGAAGCAGGAGUCCAAGCAAGUCUCCAAAGAAAAAACCUUCACGCCGUUCAGCGUCAAGAUCUCGGUCGAGAUCAGUGUCUUCUCAUUCACCAGCAGAGUCAAAGGGACGUUCUCCAUCAAGAUGAGGGAUUGUGCGGCGAUCUAGGGAUUGCGUAUUAGGAAAUUCAGGAUGGGGAUUUGGUCAGUUUGCACCAGCUCCUUUGGUUGACCGAGAGCUUGGGCAUAGAGGAUUGUUUUGGAACUCUCGAAGUAGCAUUAAGGCUUGAUGGUUUGGACCAUGACGGCUCUAUGACUUGCUUGGAUUUGAGUACGCGAGGAUUGAACUCCCAUGGCUCCUUCACAGGCUUCAAAUUGGAGGGCUGUUCUAGCGUAUAUAUGCUCAAACUUAACACAAAACACUUAUAAUACUGCACGUUUUGACAUCUGGAACUGAUUGCUUUUAAUUUCAAUGAGCUUGUUUCAUUUGCUUUUGGCCAUUUCAAUGCUUGGGAGGCACCGAGGUUCUUGGAAUCAAGCUGUUAAGGCUCCAUUCUGGAUAUUGAAUUCUGUUGUUUCUGGAACUUUUUGCAGAUCACCAGCAAAAUCCAUGUCCCCUAAUGCAUCUCCUGCCAAUGGUGUAGCAGCAAGCCCAAAGAAACGUAGCCCAAGCAGGAGCCCAUCACGUUCCCGGUCUCCUGAUGUA